UAGUCGAACGGUAACAGGAAGCAGCUUGCUGCUUUGCUGACGACUGGCGGACGGGUGAGUAAUGUCUGGGAAACUGCCUGAUGGAGGGGGAUAACUACUGGAAACGGUAGCUAAUACCGCAUAACGACGCCAAGACCAAAGAGGGGGACCUUCGGGCCUCUUGCCAUCGGAUGUGCCCAGAUGGGAUUAGCUAGUAGGUGGGGUAAAGGCUCACCUAGGCGACGAUCCCUAGCUGGUCUGAGAGGAUGACCAGCCACACUGGAACUGAGACACGGUCCAGACUCCUACGGGAGGCAGCAGUGGGGAAUAUUGCACAAUGGGCGCAAGCCUGAUGCAGCCAUGCCGCGUGUAUGAAGAAGGCCUUCGGGUUGUAAAGUACUUUCAGCGGGGAGGAAGGGAGUAAAGUUAAUACCUUUGCUCAUUGACGUUACCCGCAGAAGAAGCACCGGCUAACUCCGUGCCAGCAG
RNAcentral lists this ribosomal RNA (467 nucleotides) under Escherichia coli. Its description in RNAcentral is "bacterial SSU rRNA". It matches the Rfam family "Bacterial small subunit ribosomal RNA", at positions 59 to 514 of the family's 1533-position model. Lineage: Bacteria; Pseudomonadati; Pseudomonadota; Gammaproteobacteria; Enterobacterales; Enterobacteriaceae. The record is from RNAcentral.